ACCAGCCCGUGUGGCGAGAUCCCCGGCCGAGUGGUUCUGACGCACUUCCCCGGCGUCAGAGACACCCGGACGGGGCUCUGGCCCCACGGACCCCCACCC
This is a regulatory RNA element of Aeromicrobium marinum DSM 15272, 99 nucleotides long. It matches the Rfam family "mraW RNA". Lineage: Bacteria; Bacillati; Actinomycetota; Actinomycetes; Propionibacteriales; Nocardioidaceae. The record is from Rfam.